ACAAUAAAUCACAAUGCGGGACUAUUCGUCUUGCAAUUGGAUUGAGAACAAUGUACAACUCUUAUCGAUAAGCCAUUGGAGGGCAAGUCUGGUGCCAGCAGCCGCGGUAAUUCCAGCUCCAAUAGCGUAUAUUAACGUUGUUGCAGUUAAAAAGCUCGUAGUUGAAGUGUGGGUGGUGCCAUCUGUGGAGCUUCGGCUUUUCAGAUGAUCACUACCCCCUUCCAGUAUCCAGUAGUGGGUAUUCAGUUACUUGCUAUUGUGUGUUGGUCAUUUACUGUGAGAAAAUUAGAGUGUUCAAAGCAGGCGUUUGCUUGAAUAGAUUAGCAUGGAAUAAUAAUUGAAGGCUUUCGUGUUCGAUUUGAUUGGUUUGUUCAUGGAAGCAAGGUUAAAAGGAACAGUUGGGGGUAUUCAUAUUCACUAGUUAGAGGUGAAAUUCUCGGAUUUAUGGAAGAUGAACAA
This 459-nucleotide ribosomal RNA is filed under the name Blastocystis sp. subtype 1. Its description in RNAcentral is "SSU rRNA". It matches the Rfam family "Eukaryotic small subunit ribosomal RNA", at positions 470 to 942 of the family's 1831-position model. The record is from RNAcentral. Lineage: Eukaryota; Bigyra; Opalinata; Blastocystidae.